RNAcentral lists this ribosomal RNA (586 nucleotides) under uncultured bacterium. RNAcentral describes it as "bacterial SSU rRNA". It matches the Rfam family "Bacterial small subunit ribosomal RNA", at positions 37 to 667 of the family's 1533-position model. The record is from RNAcentral.
UGGCGGCAGGCUUAACACAUGCAAGUCGAGCGGGCACCUUCGGGUGUCAGCGGCGGACGGGUGAGUAACGCGUGGGAACGUGCCCUCUGGUUCGGAAUAACUCAGGGAAACUUGAGCUAAUACCGGAUACGCCCUUUUGGGGAAAGGCUUGCUGCCGGAGGAUCGGCCCGCGUCUGAUUAGCUAGUUGGUGGGGUAACGGCCUACCAAGGCGACGAUCAGUAGCUGGUCUGAGAGGAUGAUCAGCCACACUGGGACUGAGACACGGCCCAGACUCCUACGGGAGGCAGCAGUGGGGAAUAUUGGACAAUGGGCGCAAGCCUGAUCCAGCCAUGCCGCGUGAGUGAUGAAGGCCUUAGGGUUGUAAAGCUCUUUUAUCCGGGACGAUAAUGACGGUACCGGAGGAAUAAGCCCCGGCUAACUUCGUGCCAGCAGCCGCGGUAAUACGAAGGGGGCUAGCGUUGCUCGGAAUCACUGGGCGUAAAGGGCGCGUAGGCGGCGUUUUAAGUCGGGGGUGAAAGCCUGUGGCUCAACCACAGAAUGGCCUUCGAUACUGGGACGCUUGAGUAUGGUAGAGGUCGGUGGAAC